Molecule: ribosomal RNA, 535 nt
Filed under: uncultured bacterium
Lineage: Bacteria
Description: bacterial SSU rRNA
Rfam family: Bacterial small subunit ribosomal RNA
Source: RNAcentral
AAUAGAUACCCAGGUAGUCCACGCCGUAAACGGUGGGCACUAGGUGUGGGCGGCAUUCCACGUCGUCCGUGCCGUAGCUAACGCAUUAAGUGCCCCGCCUGGGGAGUACGGCCGCAAGGCUAAAACUCAAAGGAAUUGACGGGGGGCCCGCACAAGCGGCGGAGCAUGUGGCUUAAUUCGACGCAACGCGAAGAACCUUACCAAGGCUUGACAUACACCGGAAACAUCCAGAGAUGGGUGCCCCCUUGUGGUCGGUGUACAGGUGGUGCAUGGCUGUCGUCAGCUCGUGUCGUGAGAUGUUGGGUUAAGUCCCGCAACGAGCGCAACCCUUGUCCCGUGUUGCCAGCAGGCCCUUGUGGUGCUGGGGACUCACGGGAGACCGCCGGGGUCAACUCGGAGGAAGGUGGGGACGACGUCAAGUCAUCAUGCCCCUUAUGUCUUGGGCUGCACACGUGCUACAAUGGCCGGUACAAAGAGCUGCGAUGCCGUGAGGCGGAGCGAAUCUCAAAAAGCCGGUCUCAGUUCGGAUUGGGGU